This 3216-nucleotide long non-coding RNA is filed under the name Homo sapiens (human). Its description in RNAcentral is "non-protein coding lnc-FAM107A-1:1". The record is from RNAcentral. Lineage: Eukaryota; Metazoa; Chordata; Mammalia; Primates; Hominidae.
AGUUGAAUGAAGGAGUCUGCUCUCAGAGUAUCUGCUGUGGGAGAGCCCCGGACCCCAAGCAUCUUCAAAGGUCUAUUAUUAAUGGGGCUGUCCAGCUGAAGCUGACAUCCGCACGCAGCCCUCCCAGAGCUCUGCACCUCAGCCAGCCCACGGCCUCCACCGUCUGGCCCUGUCGGCUGAGUGGUGCCCAGCAAGGUGAGAAGGCCAAGUCCUGCCCGCUGGGCCAGGCAGAGGUCACCCGCCGCGCCUGAGCUACCGGUGUGUGAUGAGAGGACUGCCCCACGUCUUCCCUCAUUUCCCAGCUGCCUCAGUUUCCCUUCCUGAGAGAGGCAGGGUUCUGGGAGGUGAGGAGCUGCAGGGACCCAAGAAGGGCAUAGAAGCCGCCUGGGGACACUGGCCCCUCUGUCAGGAUCAAUCGCCCUAAGCCUGUCUGAGGCGCUCCGGGCUUAGGAGCAGCUGUGAAAGCCGCCUUUGUGCCUGGGAGAAUGAGCCGCAAGAGGACAGGGGGCCCUCGCCCCGGGAGCCCCUUGGGUCCUGGCUCCUGAGAUCAACGCCAGCAGGGAGGACCCCAGCCUGGCCCCUGCAGCCCACCCAGGCCUGGUGCCCACUUCGUGCCAUGGGAGCAGCCCAGGGGAAGAAGCUGGAAAAACCACCAGAGAAGGAAGAGGAUCACGCCCCCGAGUUUAUUAAAGUCAGGGAAAACCUGCGGAGAAUUGCCACACUGACCAGCGAAGAGAGAGAGCUGUAGGGCCAGCUGCCGGGCUCAGGCCACUGCCCACCCUGGCCUGGACAGCCUCCUUCAGCCCUUCUGUACCUGGCAGCCCUGGGCCCCAGGCCCUGGGACGUCUGUGAUGUUCCCACCUGCUUCUGUAGAAAUGUGUCACCCCAGAGGGCCUGGCUCUCCCUGGGAGGCUGGGGCCCCUAAGCUCCUAGGUUUUCCUUCCAAGCACCCAGCCCUCCUGCUCCAAGAGGGAUAACCUGCACCCCUCCCUGCAAGGGGUUCAGAGCCCAGCACAGGAGCUUUCUCUGGCAGAAUUGAGGAGGAAGAGGUGGCCCUCUGACUUGACAAGCCUUCUGUUCUGCCCAGGCCUUCCCACCAGGAAUCUCCGAGGCUCCCCAGGGCCCCGCUUCUCCGUACACCCCAGCUCCUAGGUCUCAGAGAACUCCCCCACCUGUGGUUUUACCUGCAGCCAGCAGAGCUUAGCUUCAAGGACACCUGCCUUCAAAGCCACUGAGGGGAGGAAGGGCAGGGCAGACUGCAGAUGGCCUUGUUGCUGGCAUCCCGGCCAGGUGGGCGGGGACUAACAAAGACAGCUGUUUAGGGUCUUCUCCCCUCACCCAUGCUUUCAUCAUCCCCUCCGCACAGCCUCCCCGUCCAGGCCUUCUAACCACACCUACCCAGGGCUGCCGCAUUCCUGCACUCAGAAGUCUGCAGCGGUGCCUCACAAACUUGAUUGUGCAUAAAAAUCACUGGGGAUCUUGUUAAUACAGCUUCUAACUCAAUAGAUCUGGGAGAUCCUGCAUUUCUAACAAGCUCCCAGGUAAGGCGGAGGCUGCUGGUGUGAGGACCAUGCUGUGAGCAGCAGGGCGAGAGUGCCCAGGGCUGAUAUAUAUUGGAAAUAUCACCCCUGAAGCCAUCGCUGGCCCCCACCUCCUGUGGACUGAUGCCCCAGGGAUUCCCACCCCACUUCUGCAACCCCAGGUAUCCUUCAUUAUCCACCCCAUCCCAGACUCCCACCCCAGGGAUUGCCCGUGAAGACUUUGGCCUAGCAAAUUGUGUUGGUUAUGUGAGUGUUGUUUUAAUCAGAGAUGUACAUGAUUGCCAAUCUGCAUUUCUUACCAGUGUGACCACACUGUUACGAUGCAAUUCUAGCCAAAAAAAAAAAAAAAAAAAAAAAAAUUUUUUUUUUUUACUUUUUCCUAGUCUUAUGGAAAGCAAAUAUACAAUGAUUUUCAGUAGGCUUCUGGAAUAGAAACAGUGGUUUGAAGACCCCACUGCCACCUUUAUGGACUGGCCCCUUUGAGUCUGAAUCCCCGGCCUCUGUCACCUGAGACCCAACCCCUAGCUGGGCCAACUCCAGUGAAUUCACCCAUUUUUCUUCUUCAGAAGGCCUUUCCUGUGUGAGACCCACAUAUUUUAACCUUUUGCUCCUAUCCCAUUUUUAAAGAAUUAGAGAAUAAACCAGGCCUGUUUCUUUUCCCCUGAAAUCCCUGCCUCUGGCUUCCUAAACCCAUCAUCUAAGGUGACAGAGCAGUGCUGGAAUAGCAUCUCCUUUCACUUUCCCAAAACUGCCACAGAUAGCUGCCACUGGCAUGCUCUUUGAUUCCUGGAAGCAAACGUGGGACUGUCGGAGGAAAGGGAUUGUUCUGGUCUUACUCAUAACUGGGUGGUUUGAGGGUGACUGAAGUCGUGCUUUUCCUGUGUGUGCUGCCAGCACAGGGCUGUAAAUGCAGAUAUUGCGCCUGUGUGCGUGUGUAUAAGUCAAGCUCCAAGAGGCUCCUGAAUGUGACUGGCGUGCUGAGAAUGUGUUUACGCUGUUUAAUGUCUGCCAGGUGAGGGUUACACUGAAGAUGCACAAUCCCUAAAAUAAAGAUCACCACUUCCCCAAAGAAGCAGCCCUCGGGUCCAUGUGUUGUUCAGACAUGUGAAGAGAAGCAAGACAGAGGGUCUCAGAUGGACGAGGGCUCUCCAAGGGAAUGCCUGGGGAUUCACCCAGUGGUCCCCAGAGGUGCUCCAUGGAGGCAACAAGUCAUUCCAUGAAGCCCCAGAGGUAGAAGGGACCUCAAGCACCACGCCCUCCAGGGCAGCCGUGCAGACGACCUUGGUUCACUUUUCAGGGGUCGUCCCAACUCUGUAUCUCCAGCCACUCCAACUGUGGAGGCUGUAAAUCCAGAUUUUCACUGUUCCAGUCUCCUUUGCAGCUUAGGAUGGCUAUGUGAUCAGGUGUGGCCAAUGAAAUUGAAGAGGAAGUCUACCUGGGCUUCUGGGAAAGCUUUUCCAAUAAAAGACACAGGCAUGGCUAACACCUCCCUGGGCCUCUUCUUCCUACCUUGAUUGAGGGUGUGAUGCCUGGAGCCACAGCAGCCACUUUGCUACCAUGACAAAAAGGCCAAGAGAAUCACAGAGUCAUUGACCCUAUCAUUAUUUCACCAAGCCAAUACCAGCCGCCAUCCUUCUCCAGAAUUCUUGUAAAUAAAAUAAAUCCCUCUUUGUUU